This is a non-coding RNA of Hymenopellis radicata, 84 nucleotides long. The record is from the annotation of a GenBank genome assembly. Lineage: Eukaryota; Fungi; Basidiomycota; Agaricomycetes; Agaricales; Physalacriaceae.
GGCCGCGUAGCGUAAUGGUUAACGCGUCACUUUCCGGUUCUGCGGUGCAGGUGAAGAUUGCAGUUUCGAAUACUGCCGUGGUCG